UUUCAUCAACAUUUUUUAUGGACAAAAAUAUGGUUAAUCAUCAAGGUGGAACUUAGACCUCCCACUGCAGUUGAGACUUCCAAGAAACCCAUAUCCUUUGCGAUUCAGUUAGAAAUAUAUUAUUAAAAAAAAGUAAAAACCCAUGUCCUUUGUUGUAUCCUUAUACGUCCUUCCAACAAUUUAACAUGCAGAAUGGUUUUGGUCCCGAGAAUGUGUGCUUGUAGUUGGUUAUCAACUUUUUUUAAAUUUGUAGUGCAAAAUUGUUGUUUAUGUUGGCAAGUACAAGUUAUUUUAGUUAGUUACCGACAUUUAGUCAUGAAAAGUAAAAUUUGGUCUCAUUUUGCCCCUCAAAUAGUGACGUGGAAGAAAAACAAAGUAAGGCAAAAUUGUGUUUUCCCACACCAUCUUCCUUUCUUAUCUAUAUAUAUCUUUGUAAAGGAAACCUGAGUUGUUCUCAUAAAAACUUUAUCUAUAGAUUAUUUUCACUACACCGAAAACUUAGUCAUAUAGAUUAUUUUAGCUACACCAAAACCUUAGUCAUGAAUCCGCACCUAUGAAGACUUUCCUUAUUGGCAAUUAUCUUAUGAAUGAUUAGUUAGCAACCAAUUGAAAUAUAUUUACAAGAUUUUUAAGACUUUGAUGUCGUGGAGCAGUCAAUUUCUCUUCAUAUAUAUAUAUACACGUGGUUAUCGGUGUAAUGCAUAUUUCCAUUGAGUUCGAGGAGAGCUCUGAUUCUAACUAAUGAAAUAAAAGUCAAAGCCAUGAUGCAAUUUGUAAAUGAGCCUGUAAAUAACGGUCAACUUUAUGGUGUAUAAGUGAGAUAUGUCUUGCAUCAUGUACAAACUAAUAUUUACUAUUGGAUCAAUAAAUCUCAUCAUUAAAUUAAAAAGAAAUAUGAUGUGACUUGUUGAUCCAAUGAUAAAAAGAACACUUGUAUAUGAUGUAAAAUCAUUUUACUCGUACAUAUAUUAGACAUAGCCAUAAGUACAACUCGGAUAUCUUCUAGUCAUAGCAUUUAAUAAGAAAGGAUUCUUACUCUUUUUGAUAUAAAACUACAAAGAUUUUUUAAUAUUCUGCUAUCAACUUAUGAGAAGGACUCCAUGAGAUGUAAAUAUAUAAAUAACUAGGGUGUAAUUGAAAAGGUUUAAGAGAAAAAAUUAAAAGGUUUAAAAAUAAAAUUUGAAGAAAAAAAUUAAUACAUUUGUUACCUCAUGUAAGGACAAUCCAUGUCAAACCUCGAUACCAUGGGAAUAAUACAAUCAUUUAGAAGUGGAGCAAUAACACGUAUUGUUCUUGAAUACUGUCAAAUCGCCCCCUAUGAUUUAAAAGCAACAUAUGAUUUCGCAAAACAAAGACAACCAUAGACUAUGGCCACUAAAGCCUUCACUUUAGGCCUAUCAGCAAAAGAAAAAAAAAUGCUCCAUUAAAAUUUAUAAGUGAAAAUGCCACAUAUGCAAACAAG
RNAcentral lists this long non-coding RNA (1462 nucleotides) under Medicago truncatula (barrel medic). RNAcentral describes it as "long non-coding RNA (MTRU_LNC000183)". Lineage: Eukaryota; Viridiplantae; Streptophyta; Magnoliopsida; Fabales; Fabaceae. The record is from RNAcentral.